RNAcentral lists this unclassified non-coding RNA (213 nucleotides) under plant metagenome. RNAcentral describes it as "partial contains small subunit ribosomal RNA and internal transcribed spacer 1". The record is from RNAcentral.
AAGUCAUAACAAGGUUUCUAUAGGUAAACCUAUAGAAGGAUUAUUACAGAGUUCAUGCCCGCGAGGGUAGACCUCCUACCCGUGUAUACUAUUACCCCUAUUGCUUUAGCAGGCCGCUGCAAAGGCCCUGGCUCCGGCUAGGUCGCGCCUGUCAGAGGACCCCUAAACUCCGAGUAUCAGUGUCGUCUGAGGUGGCUAUAUAUAAUAGUAAAA